This 726-nucleotide ribosomal RNA is filed under the name uncultured Methanosarcinaceae archaeon. RNAcentral describes it as "SSU rRNA". It matches the Rfam family "Archaeal small subunit ribosomal RNA", at positions 131 to 854 of the family's 1478-position model. Lineage: Archaea; Methanobacteriati; Methanobacteriota; Methanomicrobia; Methanosarcinales; Methanosarcinaceae. The record is from RNAcentral.
CCCGGGAAACUGGGAAUAAUUCCGGAUAACGCACAUAUGCUGGAAUGCUUUAUGCGUAAAAUGGAUUCGUCUGCCCAAGGAUGGGUCUGCGGCCUAUCAGGUAGUAGUGGGUGUAAUGUACCUACUAGCCUACAACGGGUACGGGUUGUGAGAGCAAGAGCCCGGAGAUGGAUUCUGAGACAUGAAUCCAGGCCCUACGGGGCGCAGCAGGCGCGAAAACUUUACAAUGCGGGAAACCGUGAUAAGGGGACACCGAGUGCUAGCAUCAUAUGCUGGCUGUCCAGGUGUGUAAAAUACACUUGUUAGCAAGGGCCGGGCAAGACCGGUGCCAGCCGCCGCGGUAACACCGGCGGCCCGAGUGGUGAUCGUGAUUAUUGGGUCUAAAGGGUCCGUAGCCGGUUUGGUCAGUCCUCCGGGAAAUCUGAUAGCUCAACUAUUAGGCUUUCGGGGGAUACUGCCAGACUUGGAACCGGGAGAGGUAAGAGGUUACUACAGGGGUAGGAGUGAAAUCUUGUAAUCCCUGUGGGACCACCUGUGGCGAAGGCGUCUUACCAGAACGGGUUCGACGGUGAGGGACGAAAGCUGGGGGCACGAACCGGAUUAGAUACCCGGGUAGUCCCAGCCGUAAACGAUGCUCGCUAGGUGUCAGGCAUGGCGCGACCGUGUCUGGUGCCGCAGGGAAGCCGUGAAGCGAGCCACCUGGGAAGUACGGCCGCAAGGCUGAAA